This 462-nucleotide ribosomal RNA is filed under the name uncultured bacterium. RNAcentral describes it as "partial 16S ribosomal RNA". It matches the Rfam family "Bacterial small subunit ribosomal RNA", at positions 338 to 795 of the family's 1533-position model. The record is from RNAcentral.
CCUACGGGUGGCAGUAGUGAGGAAUAUUGGUCAAUGGCCGAGAGGCUGAACCAGCCAAGUCGCGUGAGGGAAGACGGCCCUACGGGUUGUAAACCUCUUUUGUCAGGGAGCAAAGAGAGUCACGUGUGCCCGAUUGAGAGUACCCGAAGAAAAAGCAUCGGCUAACUCCGUGCCAGCAGCCGCGGUCAUACGUAGGAUCCGAGCAUUAUCCGGAGUGACUGGGUGUAAAGGGUUGCGUAGGUGGCAUAAUAAGUAGCUAGUGAAAUCGGGUGGCGCAACCAUUCAGACUAUUAGCUAAACUGGUAAGCUCGAGACCGUUAGCGGCAUCUGGAAUGUCUGGUGUAGGAGUGAAAUCCGUAGAUAUUAGAAGGAACACCAAUAGCGUAGGCAGGAUGCUGGCACGGUUCUGACACUAAGGCACGAAAGCGUAGGGAGCAAACGGGAUUAGAUACCCCAGUAGUC